AUUAAUUACUUCCUAGUUAAUCAGUUUUAUAUAAAUAGAGAGAAAAUAUAGAAUUAAACUUCUAUAUUUUUAAAAGUACCAAAUUAUUGGUGCUUGUAGAUUUUUAGCCAUUGGAUUAAGAAAAAUGCGGUUAGGAUAAUGUGGGUUCUCUAGGGUUGAGUGGAUGGUUGGUUGAAUAGUAUAAUUUAAUGGUUGAAAAUAAUCCGAGAAAUAAAUUUAAUAGUAAUAAACUUACAAGCACCAAGUGCUUGGUAUUUUUACAAGUACCAUAAUUGGACUCGAAAAUAUAUAUAGUAGAUAAAAAUUAUGAAUUUUAUACGAACACCAGGAACCCGAUUUAAUGCGUCGGAUUUUGGGCCCAACCAUUAGGCCCCUCUAUAAGGAGCAUUUAUGCAUAUUUAUGUAUUUUUUAAGUUAUGAAUAUUACAGGACGUGUGUAGAAAAAGUGUAUGGACUUGGUAGGUGGCUGCUCCACCAAACCCCUGCUUCUAAGAAAAAUUAUUUUUUCCCGAGAUAUUAUAAAAUUAUUUUAUCUUAUUAUUAUUUUUUUUAUGUCACAUGCAAGCAUGUUUACACCAAGGAGUCGUUGGACUUCCACCAUCCAACACCGACUCCUUAUGGACAACAACUAACCCUGCAUUAGUUGGCAAUUUGGUAGGGAAAAUGAAGUCAAAUAGCGAAAGCAUUACUUAGUUUUAGAUUCCAUGAUCUUUCCCCACCUAACUAUCUUGUGUUGGACCACAUAUACAGUUUAAUCCCUGCCUAAUUUUCUUUUUAUUUUGUACUUUGCAUUCCACACAUUUUCCUUAGCGUAUUCUAAUCGUUGCUAAUUGGAUCGAGCCAAAGCCAAAACAUUAGAGGGGGGAGGGGGGGGGGGAGAAAAGUACAUACUUUAAAUUGAUCCGUUGUUGGUCACAUCACACGCGUGUUUUAAAUUGUGAACAUAAAUUGAUCAACACCUUUAUGCUUUUAUAUUAUGUAUGCUAACGAUCUGUAAAAAUAAUAUUAUGAAAAGCUCGUGGUAGUACUUUUUUCUUUUCUUUUUUUCGUUAUUCCCGGAGAAAACACUUUAAAUUUUACAAUAUUCUGUGAAAAUGCAUAUGUGAGACAAAAAUAAAUAUAUGUAACCAGUAAAUUACAUUCUUUAUAACAAUAAUAAAAUAAAUGUAUAAGCAUAGGAUUGUUCCACCCUUUCACAUGCCUAAUAACAGGAGUAGUUAAAUGAGAGCAAUUAAAAAAAAAAAUAUAUAUAUAUAUAUAUAUAUAUAUAUUAAAUAAGGUAGUGAGUUGUGAACGUAUGCGCCACUACUUCCAGAGUUCACGACAAAAUAGCAGGGCACCCCCGAUCCUCUAUCUUGCGCAGCCGAUUGGGCGCGGAUCCCAUACAACCUGAGUUGUUGCAACUUCGUACAAUUUGAAUGUACGGAAAUCCAACCAAUAAAAAGCCGCCACGUGUAUGAUUGUAUGAAAUUUAUACAUCCGGGAGUUUGGUAGGUCUACUUUUCUCUUUCCAAAAUUAACCCUCACCGAGCUCUCACAGAGUUCGGAUUGAUGAGUUUGGCUUAGUCUUCUUAUAAAUGAUACGAAGUUUGAUUAUUUUGUUGAUCACCACUGCUUUAGAAUCCGUGAAAUGUGGGCCUUUCAUUUGAAUUGACAUAAAUAUAAUUACUAUAUAUAUAAUAUAUAUUUAUAAAGCGAAUAGGAUUUUAAAUGUGUCAAUUUUUUUUUUCAGAAAUAUUUUUUUAUGUUAAUAAAUCAACCUUGACUUUUUAUUUGUUAUACAAAUGAGAUGAUUGAUUAUAAAGUUUUUAAGUUUAAUUUAUUUUUCAAUGCAAAGCAUGCGUUGCACGCCCACUUUUACUGCUAUAUAUAUAUAUAUAUAAACACACACACACAUAAAAGAUAAUAUUAUAUGUACAUCUAUAAUCUAUAAUUAUAGAUUUAUAUCCUAUUCUAACCUCUCAAUGGGUAAGAUUUGCUCAUCUUAUUAAUUAUUUUUUUAAUAUUAAAAAUCUUAAAAAUAUUAGUAUAUAUUGAAAUUAUAAAGGUCCAAAAUUUUUCAUACAUUAAUUAGUAUCACGUGUGGAAACUAUAAAGGAUUUCUCUUUCAUUUUCAAUUGUGUUUGAGUGCAUCGUUUGGUCCACAAAUUUUAUUUAGGGGACAAAACAGAUGCAUCCUUUAAUUUUGGCCACCCAGCAAACAUUAAUUUCCACAAAUAACGAAACAGAGCUGCUGACGUGGCCUUCUCCCAUGCGUCGUAUAUGAUGUUCUAUGCGGCACAAUGUCGCUAUUAGAGGGUGUAGUUCCUAUUAUGCGUACAAUUUUUGGUGUAGCUUGCUAGUUGAUAACUAUAAGAGUGCCUGCGUUCCAUGUGCGUCAUACAACAGCGACCCUACAAAAUUAGCUUCUAGGGUUUUCGCUCCUUUCAUUGACACUCGCAAAAUUAUCGAAACUAAAAUUUUAGGAUUAAUUAUUUUGGAUUUGAUGAAUUAGUAGGUUUUUUUUUUUUUUUUUUUUUUUUUUUUGAGAGGUAGGUAGCACACUGUUUAUUUUAUUUAGAAAUAAACUUAACUGAAAAUGUGAAUCAAAUAGAAUUCGAACUUGGAACCUCGGGUACCAACCAUCAAACCUUUUGCCACUUGUUUUAGGGACAGUAGGUUCUAAGUUAGGUGAUAUUUUGUUGAGUACAAUAUAUAAAAAUAAUAUCUUUGACUGUUUAAGUUUUUAGAGAAAAAUAAUUAUCUUUGUUUUAGCUAGUUAUUUUAAUAUGAAAAUGGUAAAUAAUAUUGAGAAUUAGUUUGGUAUUGGCCAACGUAGUUUACGUAAUCAACUUGAAUUGAAACGAAAUGACUAUGAUUGGACUGGGCCAAGAGAGGGUAGUUGGGUCUGAGUUGAGUCUAGGGUUGGCCUAAAUUGAAUCAAUUUACUUGGCUAUAUUGUCACAUCAAGCCCAAUCAGAUCACUCGAUCGUCGACUCUAGUGCAACUGACAAAAAAUUUAAUAGUUAGUAUCAACGUUUCAAAUUCAAAAUUUCAGUUAAAUUUAUUUUUUUUAACAUAAUAAACGAAGCGGACAAUAUAUUAUCUUUCUUUUAAAAAACUUGGUUGGGUUUGGAUUGGACAUGGGAACUUCUUCUGCUUUACUAAUAUCUGGUUGACUUGUUUACUAUUGGUUGGGGCACAUGACAUAGUCUGAGAAUCUAACAUAAGUGUUACAAUUUUUAAAAACAUUUCAGGCUAUCUCAAUGACCCUGAGGCCACAAAGAACACCAUAGACAAGGAAGGAUGGCUCCACACUGGAGACAUCGGUUUCGUUGACGACGAUGAUGAGAUCUUCAUCGUCGACAGGCUUAAGGAGAUAAUCAAGUACAAAGGGUUCCAAGUUCCGCCGGCCGAGCUCGAAGCCCUGCUCAUUACACACCCGAGCAUCGCCGACGCCGCGGUUGUUCCGUAAGUAUUCGAACUUCCUACACCCACUCCGUGAGCGGUAUACUCUAUCAGAUUGAUUUGAUGGAAAAGAUGAUAUACGCGCGCUAUUUUAUGGGUUUAAAUCUCUAUCAAUUACCUAUUCUGUAUUCGAUAUUCCUAUUUAUAUCGUAUGCUUUUGUACUAAUAUUUUAUUUGUUUCCGCAGUAUGAAAGAUGAACUUGCUGGGGAAGUUCCUGUUGCAUUCGUUGUCCGGACCAAGGAUUCCGAAAUUACGGAGGAUGAGAUCAAAAAAUACGUCUCGCAGCAGGUACAUAAAAUUCCAAGCUUUAUGUCCUUUUCUGAUGUCUUUUGCUUUGUUUCCUUUGUAUUGAAAAAGUCGCAUUAUGAUCCCUUUUUUUUCCAUUUGGUUGCAAAAACAUUUGCAUCACAAAAUUGGGUUUGGAUAUCAUGCCAAAAGAGUCACUAACAGCAGAAAAGGACAGUUAACCUAAUAAACGUGAUUGGGGAUUGUGGAAGGUGAAAUUUUAGGUGAAAUUUUAAGUUUGGUAGGAUUAAGAAAUUCGAAAAUGACCUCGAAGCUAAUAAGCUUUGAAAACACCAUGAAAAGAUAACUCUAUAGCAUUAAAAAAAGAGAUAGUUAAUCUUUUUUAAAAAAAUUUAAAGGAUUAAAAUUUAUAACGGGAUAAGGAUUUUGGUGACGUAUUUUGAUACAAGUUAAUAAACUAAUUGUAUUGCCCAUUAAAUUGUGCCAAAUAGAGAAAAAUGAAUACUAAUUGAAAUUUGACUCAAAAACACCUUAAAUCAAUUCGUAAUUGAAAUCGAAAUAAGAUCAUUAGGACCAGACAUAUUCUCCUAUAAUCUAGAUCCGAAUGAAACUUGGUCUUUGAUCCAUCACUGCAAAACAUUCUUUCCUUAAUUUACCUAGUUUGUUGAUUAUCACUGGAUUAAUUUCCUUGCGUAAAGAGCAAAUUAGUAUUCAUCUCCGGGAUUAGCCUUAUAUUUAAUCUGCUAGUAUAGUGUGAUUUGAAUCAAAUUUCCGUAAAAUUGUUGAAUUAUUUACUUACAAAAACUCCUCUCUCUCUCUGCAGGUGAUCUUCUACAAGAGAAUUGGCAAGGUGUUCUUCACCGACGCCAUUCCGAAGGCGCCGUCGGGCAAAAUCCUGAGGAAAGAUCUGAGAGCCAAGUUGGCAGCUUAAGUUAUGCUAUUGUUGGUGAAUACAUUGUCUCCGCAAAUUGGCGCACCACCGACUGAUCUCAACGGUUUCGCUCUUCGUCUCUGAUCCUCUCCGCUGAAGCGAAAAGAACAAGAGAAAAAAAAAGAACGAACUUGUAAGAUUAUUGUUAAAAUAACCUUAUAUAGAAGAGUUUGGAGUUAAUUCUUUCAGACAUUGGCUUUUUAAGCGGUCAAAAUUAGGGGCAAUUCGUUCUCCUAAUCGAGCUGCUGCGAACGAUGUUUAUUCUUCGUUGGUUGUGUUUGUAAUGUUCAUAUAGAUUGAUGCUCAUGAUUCUGUGGCAUGUCAAUGUGGUAAUAGUGGACACUCCAAAUAUUUAUCGAUAAUUUCGCAAAUAAUCCAUUUCACUGUGUAACUUAUUCGCGAUAUUUGAAACUGUUAUUAAUUUCUAUAUAUUAACUUAGGCACAUCAGAUUCUGAUGUGCCUAAAAAUAGAAAAUCAGGCUAAGUUAAAGGAUAAUUGUCUACGACAGUGAAAAAGAAACACAGGAGAAGGACAAGAAGGCCAUUUAACAAUUGUGGACCAUUUUGCCACCACAUUAUAGUGGAGAACAUUAGCAGCAGCCUAUCACACACGUACCUAACAUAGAGAUAUAUAACCGACCGUUCCUAAAACAAGUAGCAAAAGGUUUGAUGGUUGGUAUCCGAGAUCCAAGUUCGAAUCCUAAUUUAUUCAUAUUUUUAGCUAAAUUUAUUUCUAAAUAAAAUAAAACGAAGCGGAUAGUAUGGUAUCUAUCUCUCAAAAAAAAAAAUAUAGAAAAAUAUAACAUCAUUUGUGGCAAUUUGGUGGCCUAUUUGGUUAGAACGAAAUAAUAUAAUUUUUAGAAAUAAAAAUAAGAAUCUCCAUUCUCCAACAGGGCAUCCGACACUUGAUGGGGUUUUGGGUUAAAUAAUGUAGAUAGUAGUUGUCGCUGCUGUUGCUUUUUUAUUUUUUAUUUUUUAAUUAGAAGCCUUGUUCUUUUAACUAUGAUAGCUGAGUUUAUUUUCCUUCGAACUACCUUUCUCAAUAAUAAUAAUAAUAAUAAUAAUAAUAGUAACAAUAAUAAUAAAAAAAUGUUCGUUCAACAACCUCACAUUCCCAGCUACAUGUUAGUGAGUUGAGUUUGGUGGCAAAUUAAGUUGAGCAAAUACUCGAUUAUGCUUACUCAAAACAAUCUCUUUCAUAGUAAUGCUUUCUUUUUCUUUCUUUUUUUCUUUGUUUUUUUUCUUUUUUUUUUUUGUUCAUAGUAAUGCUUUCGAUUCUUAGCCCAGUUAAUAGAGUACACAUCUAACUUGAAGCUGAUAAUAGAGUUGGGAGUCCCUAGUCAAAAUUCCUUGAGCUCAAGGGAGAACACGCCUGUGCCAAGCCAUUCUCUUUUGGAUUUCAAAUUAAUGAAUCUAAACCAUCUCGUGCUUACUAAAUGACAAAUUAAAUCCGAGUCGAGGUGUGCGUUGACCGAGCAACAGUAGCCUGAAUUCUCUCACGUUUGGAGCGCAUCUUAAAUCUUUGGAAUCUACCGGAUGGUGUUCAAAAACCGACGAAUUGACCCAAAAUUUAAUCAAAUCGACAAAAUUCGGUUGCAUUUUAAAUCGACAGAUCCAGCCUAGCGAUAUGCGCAAACUGUAGAAAAACUAAGCUAAAAGUUUUUUCCUGCACGAAAAUUUAAUUUUAAGGAACAUUGAUUAUGAUGUAUAGGUUUAAUAAUAUCUUUGGUACAACUGAGCGCCCAUGGCCUAAUGGAUAAGGCGCUUGACUUCUAAUCAAGCGAUUGUGGGUUCGAGUCCCACUGGGCGUGUUCUUUUUCUCUUUUUUUUUUUUUAUUUUUUCACAUGCGCAAAUCAUCAUUUUUUUUUUCUUUUUUCCUCCCUAUUUUCACGCAAACAAAAAAUAUUUCGGCGGAAGAAAUAUAGAGCACACUUCGUAUCUGACGAAUUUUUUUUUUUCAUGCACGCAAAAUAAGAGGAAGAAUAUGCUGUUGCUGAAGACACAUUACCGAAACAAGAUGAUGAAGAAAUUAUACUACCUGUGCAUGAAAUAGAUGGAUUGAGAAAAGAGAGGGAUAAUGCCGGUUUUAAAAGAACUAGCCUAUUGCUGCUUUCACUUCAAAUUCAACGCUAUGCCAUCGAAAUCAUCAAAAAACCAGUACAUUAUUCACAUAAUCCAGAAAUACGUAAAGCUUUUAAUAGCAAAAAUUUUACAAUUCAUGAUCAGAAGCAGUCGGAAACAGCCGGCAGCAAUAACGAAUGAAAUUCGCAACAUAACAAAACUAUACAUCCGUUACAAAAAAGCUACCACAAUAUGUACGGACAACCGGUGGCUACAAGCUAGUGUCAGAUCAUAUCAGUAAGCGUAUGAAAGAAAAGGGAAAAAAAAGAAGAAGAAGAAAUUGCUAAACUGAUUCCAGAAGAAAGAUAGCCCGUAUCCUUUUUCCUCCUCCCUCUCUUUUACUACCAUCAGAAAAAGAAGAGCAAAAGGAAGAACGUACUCUGAAUAGCUGCAAUCAAGGGGGGCAGUGGAAUAUACAAAAGCAGAGUCGAUCGAUCGAUCGAUUGAUCGAUCCUGAGGGGGGCAAGCAAAACAGAGCUCUCCCUCUCUGUAUAUCUCACAUAUGCCGCCGAGGAGGCCACGGCGCUCUUCUCCUAUGGCUCUUUUCUUUCCUCUCAGCUAGCAUCUUCCGUCCCACAUACCUGUUUUUCAAAAAAAAAACAGCUGCUCAACGUAAAAGAGAGAAAUUUACACUUCGUUUGGAAUCAAAUUUGACUGAAGUUUAAGUGACUGAAACUCACAAGAAUUCAAUUCACUUCAAUUCAAUUCAAUUGCAAAUAUAUGAGAGAGAGAGAGAGAGAGAGAGAUAGAGAGACCUGCCCAUCAUCAUGAGGGUGGCUUGGGGGUUGGUGCCUGGUGAGAUAGCAAAGGUGGAGCCAUCCACCACCCUAAGGGCGCCCACGCCGAUAACCCGGUAGUCACCAUCCACCACUUUCCCAGCCACGCACCCGCCGUGGUAGUGCCAUAUUGUUGCCACUGUUCUCCGACAGAACUCCUCCAUCGCCGCCCUGUCUGACCGGUUCGCCGGCAGAGCCGGCCCCACAUACCUGAAAUCCCCCCUCCCCCUCCACGGCAGCCACCCGACCACCGACCGAAACUCCUGCAUCGACCGGCUUUCGAGAACGUCGCCGACCCGGCGGAGCCCGACGACGCAUCGGUCCAAGUCCUCCGGGUUGGAGAAGUAGUUGAAGCGGACAAUCGGGUUGUCCCGUGCAUCGAGUGAUGCGAGACGGAGGGAGCCAACGGAGGCUGGGCCUGGGACCUUCUCCAUGAGGGUGGCGACGGUGACGUAGAGAGGAGAGGAAGGGUUGUGAAGGAAGACGGAGCGAGGCGGGGAGAAGAAGGGCACAAUGUUCGAGGCAGCCUCCAGGAAUGAUGCAUCGGCCGCGUCUUUGUCCUCGCCGGUGGGGAUGCCAACCACCUACAUGAAGUACAGCGAUCGAAACGACAUAUUAACAUCAAAACAGCAGGUCCUGAAUUCAAAUAUUAUCAGGCUCAGACCUCAUCUAAUCCCCUUCAGUUUGUUACAAGAAGAGUAUCGAAUAAAGUGAUCAAAACAUUAGUCUUCUAGGAGCUUAAUCUUUUUAGACAAAAAUGUUGUUGUUUCACAUCACCUGGAUAAGGGAAUGGUCGAGGGGGAUCGAGGGGAUGAUGGAGAUGCCAUUGCGGGGGUUGUCGUAGACGUGCUGGCCAACAUCGGGGAGGUUAGCAGCGACGGGAAUGCCCCAGGAGGAGAGGUAGGGGCGGGGGCCCACGCCACUGAGGAGGAGGAGCUGGGGGCUGCCGAGGGCACCCGCACAAAGGAUCACCUCGCCCCCUGGCCGUACCAUGGCGUGGUGGUGCCGCCCAAGCCGGUCUCGGUAUAGCACCCCGAUUGCCGCCGAUGAUUGCUGGUUCCGCCGACGCGAGCCUAGAAAUGGUGAUACCACAACAAUUAGUAUUCCAAAAUGAACUUUAGAUUGGAUUCUAUUCUCUAAGGAGAAUGCAGGAGGUGAAGAUACAAUAAUUUCCAAAUUGUCUAGCUACAGAUGCAUCAUAUGAAAUUAAUAAACAGAAAUUUCAAAUCUAAAGGGAGACAAAUUUUUCAACGAAAGCAAGAGUUGAUUACCAUCAGCGUUCAAUAAACACUUUCUCAAAUUUUUUUUUUUUUUUAAAGAACUUGGUGUCCAUAAUAAAUCCAAGACAAUGAGGCCAGAAAUGUAAGACUAAAUAAAUUCAAGCAGAUGAAGCUAAAACUAAAAGAAAAAAAAAUAUAUGUACUUACUAUCCGCAUUUUCUAAUUUCAUGUUCUAAGACCUUCCUUGUACAUUGUCGGCACCAGAUUAGACCUUACUAUCCAAAGAAGCAGAUUUAUAUGGACUCUAACAAAGGAAUUAUUAAUUGGCGAAGUCCUGAAUUUUGAUUCUUUACCGAUUCGCACUUUUGGUUGGGAUCAUAAGAUCUCGAAUUUGGACGGAGAUAAGAAUUUCCAAAUGUCUAACUAGAAGUUAGCUGCAGCGGGAGAACAAAACGAGUUCCUAGUUCAACAGAUGAUCUGAAUUUAGAGGAGAUAGCAAGUUUUCUACAAAAGCAAGAUUUAAUUACUAUCAGCAUCGAACUAUAAGACGAAAUUCGAGCUAAAAUUUACUUACUACCAGAAUUUAACGAGGAAUAAUUCAUAGUUCAAGAAGACAUUGGAAUGGACAGUUUUAAUAAGAUCAUCAAGCUGAAAGAAAGGAACAACAUCAAGAUAACAAAAUGUUACGAUCCAUAUACAGGGGAGGUCGAAGCGAACCGGGAGGGACGGGGUUGAGGAGGACGCGGUCGACGGUGGCGCGGAGGGCGACGCGGAUGCGGUCGGGGUUGGCGAAGGCGAGGAGGUCGGCGGCGCUGUGGCGUCGGCCGGAGGAGUCGAAGGUGGUGGCGCCGAUCUUGGUCCCGGCGAGGUGGUGCACCGUGAACCCGUUGUACGGCGUGACGUUGGCCUCGAGGAGGCCGUCCCUCACGGCGGAUUGCCAGCUCCGGAGCACCGGGCGGAAGGUGAUGGCCCUCUCGACCCAGUCGUAGGAGUCGUUGACGAGGGCCAUGUCCCAGGAGGGGCCGCGGGGGAGGGAGAACCAGGAGGGGUGGGCGCGGCUGUAAAAGCCGGCGUUGAUGGCGCUGCUGCCGCCGAGGACGCGGCCGCGGGCGUUGGGGACGGCGCCGUCCUCGGAGGAGAAGGGGUGGGCGGGGGAGUCGGGGGCGUCGGUGUCGACGAGGGUGGGGAGGAAGCCCUCCGGGGAGGCGAGGGAGGGGAACUCGGAGGGGGCGCCGCCGCGCUCGAGGACGAGGACGCGGCGGCCGCCCUCGGAGAGGGUGGCGGCGAGGGGGCACCCUGCGGUGCCGCCGCCGACGACGAUGUAGUCGUAGUCGGACUCCACCGGGAAGGCCCCGGCGUCGAAGGCGAAGGAGGCGUAGCUCGGGGGGCCUGCGAGGGAGAUGGGGAUCAAGAUCGUUAGGCGCAAGAAGAGGAUGGGAAGAGGGAGAGAGGGAGGGGAAGGGAGGGGUUUGGUACCUUCGAUAGGAGGGGCUUCGCCGCGGGGGAGGAGGAGGAGGAGGAGGAGGAGGAAGAGGGGGGUGGGGACGAAGGUGGAGGGGAAGCGCUUCUUCGCCAUUAGGUUUUUAGAGAUUGGUGAGGAAUCGGGUCGAAUUUGUUGAGAGAGAGAGAGCGCGCGCGCUUGGGUUUUGAGUGCAAAUGGCGGUAAGUUUAGGAGAGAGAACGAAUACGAAGAGAGCGGUUUGUGAAAUUAUAAGUACCUGGACCUAGUCCACCAAUUAAUCUGUAAACCGAACCAUUGGACUGCAACAAAUCUGCGAAAUGCACAGUUGCCAAUGCAUGAGAAACCGUUGUGCAUUAUGCAUUCGCUAUUUGUUGUUAAUUCCACUUUGUUUUUUCUCUUUUUUCCCAAAAGGUAAACUUUCACUUUUGUGCAAGGAUUUAAAUGUCGUUUUACAGAACCGUGCCGAUAAUAACAAAAUAUUUAUUUUUUUUAAUAACAAAAUAUACCAAUUAUUUAUUAUAUAUUUUUAUCAAAAUUUUAAUUUUAUUAAAAAAAUUAAUUUCUAAUUUCAAAAAUAAAAAAUUUUGAAUUAUACUAAUAUCUUGCUAGUAUAAUACAAUACAAUAAAUACAGCCCGUAUCGACGAGCACUAUAAUCCUUACUUUUGUAUAUUUCUUUUAUCAGUUUGAACAAUUUUUUCAGUUUAAUCGAUCUAUUAGUUGCUUUCAUGGCUACCGGAUCCAAGAUUUCUAGAGUUCACCUCGUAAAAUAGUUGAUGAAACCGUAGCAGUAUUUUUAACAGAUGACACCACAUGAUAUGGUAACUAUUUAGUCAUCAUACAAAUGAACUGCUACAUCAUGUUCGAAAAAAAUGCCGUAUAGCUAAUUCAGGAUCAAUUCAACAAAAAGAGAAAUAAAAGCGGUAUCAAACCGUGUAAUAAUUUCUCAAAUUUGAGAAAUAAAACCGUAUAAUUUCUGACCAAAAUUUAGCAUAAUUCGCUUCAAUAAAUAAACACUUGCUCGCGUGCGCCCGCUUAAGUAUACUACGGACAGCUCUCAUCAAAGAUAAAAGUGAUCCAUCACCCCAAUUAAUACAACAUAGCUACGAGUUUGCUAGGCUUCUGCUGAUCUUACCAAUCCCUGUUUCCAGCUGCAACAAACUAGGCAGACUGACAAUAUCAGCAUUAAUAAAUAAGCAUCUACUCGACGACAUUAUUUGCUUAAGAAAGAAUAAUGUUAUAUGGUCCUUGCUUUAAUUGAUCAAUGAGGAAAAUAAUUCUCAACUCAUUGCUCUACCAGAUGUCAUCAUGUGAGCUCUGAGAUUCAAAUAUUUCAAACAGAACGCUUUAGAUUUCUCUAUAUGCAGCGCUGCAGGACAUACGAAGCGAAAGAGGUGCGCCAGCUAGGAAUAAUGUGGGGUAAAUAAUAUUGCCUCUCUAGUGUUUUAAUCAUGAAACCAGCACCAAAACUUAAUUGAUUGCCGCGCACAUAUGAACAGAAAUAAAAUAUGGGAUUUUACUGAACUAUUCCGUUCUGUUUGCUCCCGCUCUUCGCUGAUUUCUUCUGCUGUUCGGCAUCGUAGUGAGCAAAGGCCGCAUCCAAUGCCUGAAGCGAGCAUAGAUAUUAAAUCAAAUCAGAUACAAGGCAUAGAAAGGAAACAAAAGAAAAGAAGAGGAAACAAGAGUUGCACUUCAAAAUUACCAUGUUUAAUAAUACAUUCAUGUGACGCGAGAGAAAGGACAACUAGGAAUUACCUGUAGCAUUGGCUGAACAAAGAGAGACACUUGAUGCCUGAAAUCUGACUGCACAGAUUCCUUAAUUUCCUGAAAAUUCACCCACAAGAUUUUCAAUAUUGACAGGCUGGAUUAUUAGUUAAAAUUUGAGUUUAAAACGUAAAAUUAGCUUAUGUUCAAUUGUUUUAGCGACUGUCAUACGUAAUUCACUCUUGUAUUAAAUGGAAUGUAGUAGUUCUGUGAAAAGGUUCAUGUGCUGGGUUUGCCCUAGAAUCAGAAGACUUUAAAGAGAAAAUUCCAUGAGAUAUAACCGAGUCCUAGUGAUGACUGCUUCCGUGGAAAGGCCAUAAAAUAACAACGAGACGAGAGAAAGAGCGAGAGAGAGAAAGAGGUGGUACCUGUAGCUUUUGAUAUAUCUGAGACAUAGCAUCCUUCAACCUUAGGACCUGCAACAAUGCAAGAUGUUUAAUUGGCACAAUUGUAUAGCCACAAAGAAUGCAUCAUGACAAUUGCUUCUAUUACCAUCUACCAUCUACUACUAAAUCUUGAUGUAAUUACUACCUUAUUAUAUAGGUAAGCAGUUGUAAUUGGAUAUGAUGACCAAAAAUGUUGCAGCAAUUCCUGAAUGGACAUCCAAUGCUGAAAUUGUUAACAAAACCAGGAUAUUAGUUCAUUAAUCAUACAACACAAAAUUAAAAGGUAGAAGCAUACCGAUCUUACCCAAAUUACACUGCAUCUUGAAAUGGGUUCCUGAACUCCAAAAUUUUUGAUUUUUACUACCUACCCUUAAACUAUGGUGGGCUUAACUACCCGUUUGUCAAAAAUUAACGUCACAAAGUAUUUUGUAACCUAACGGAAAAUUCUAUUAUUUGACAGAUUAUUCUAUAACUUUUUUUUUUCUAUGAGACCUAUUAAAUUCUAACAGAACUAGACAAAUAUUUUGAAAUGAAAAUUACUGAAAGAUUAAUAAAUAAAAAAUUUCUAGGUACCCAUUUCAAUAUGCACUAUAGUUCAGAUUAGCUCUGUAUGUUUACCAAGACAAUGUAUGGACAAUGCAUUCCAAUAAAUAUGCUACUUUCAUCAAGUAGAAUCUAACAAGAGAUUCUGAUUCCAGUCUGACAAUAUAUAUUGGCAUUUGGCAAGCAUGGCAAGCACAAACCCUUUAAAUCCAUACAUAUUAAUGUCACUAAAAGGACAGAUUAACAGAGAGACUCACAUGCAUAAGUUCAUCUCUAGUUCGAUGAGGUAGCCUAUCAAGGACGCUCUCCUGCGGAUUCUUUCCAAGAUGAUAUCUGGUACUCGAAAGAUGUUGAUUCAACCCAUCAAGAACCUAGCUCACACCAGUGAGGUAGUUAGGUUUCCUGCUCCAUGGAAUUUAAAUAGCCUAUGAAAAAAGAAGCCAAGCUAACGGUAAAGACCAUCAUAAUUAGACAGUGAAACAUCGUCACCGACAAAAGUAUUAGUUGUCCUUUCUAAAAGAUGACAUAGAUCUGACCGAAAUUUUAAUUAACCUUUUAACUGGCAGACAGCGUAAUUACAUGAAAUACUGAAACCUAUAAUUCUUUGUAAUUCAAUCUCAUUUAUCAUUUUUAUCAUCAGAGAGGAUGACUAACCAAUUUCCAGCUUUACUUGUUAAUUCUAAUAAGCUAUAAGACCCAAUAGCUGAGAAACUGUUACAUAAGAAAAUUUUGUCCGAUGCCUUGUCAUCAACAACAGCAAUGCAGGUAAAAGACAAGGUUGUAGCAUCUUAUAAAGUCACCAGCGAUUUGGAUAGUUCUGAUAUAAUAAGUAAUCCUUUCCUUAACAACAAUGGACAUAAGGAUCUAAAUAAGAAACAGAUUCAAUAUAACCAAAAUUUUGCAAUUUACUAGUCUAGCAGCACAUCAGUAAAAUUGGUCAAUCAUUCCCGGAAAAUCCGUGACAAUAACAUGGAAGUAGACUGGUGAUACUAGCCAUCAAGAAUUACCAAGAAAGCAUCAAGCAAUUGUGGAGCACUAUUUAGUAAAGUACAAGCCCUAAGAAAGUGUUGAACAGGAUAAAUUUGGCAAUAUUCAGGGUAAGGAAUACUAUUGGCUUUCCAAAAAUCGCAAUUUAAAUAACACUGUUGCAGCCUUCCAACUAAAAAACCAUUUAUACUUCCGAAGAAGUCUAACAUGUAUAACCAACAGCAAAAUAAAAAUUUACCUUAAGAGCUGCUUCAGGUUGAAUAACUGGAAUUUCUAAUCCUCGAGUUUUGACCUCAGAUAUCUGCCUCCGCAAGUAAAGGUACACCUCCUCAGUGCUCAUGUUGCAAUUUAUAGACUUCAUUCCACCACUAUCGCCUAGAGCUUUAAGUGCAUUGGCAUGCUGAGAAUCAAAAUACUCACGGGGGUCCUGAAGAAAUAGGAUAUACAAUGUAACUCGUAGUUACAAAAUGGUCAACAGGAGGGAUCAUUAAAUUGUCAAAUGUACGGACUAUCUCUGGCCUGACUUACAUCCCUGGACUUUUCACUUACACACUUCAGUCCUUGAACUUCAUCAUAUUUGUAAUUUCAUCCCUAAAAAAUAAAAGCAGCCAAGUUUUCCUAAAGUAACCAUUUUACUCAUGCAAAAUAACUACCUUGUUUCAACUAGACUGAAACAGAGUUGGAAAGUCAUUUUAACAGAAGUCAUGUGUUGUAAGAUAUUCUUUAGCGGCUAGGGAGUAGGAUGGAAUUGCAAUACAUGAGAAAGUUUAAAGGUCGGAGUCUAAAAUGUUUAUGUGAAAAUUUCAGGGAGUAAGUCACAUAUCAGUAUAGUGCAGAGUCAUACCUUAAUACAGAGAGGUGCAUAUGGGAGGCUUCGCGGAGCCUGAAGGUCAUCAAUCUCGGUCAUACGAGAAACCUUUGCCAGUCGUUCCAUGUUGACAUUCUCAUCCGGCAAAUCAGAGGAUGACUCUGCAGCAUAUAUUUCGUGGAGUUAAAAUAAAAUUAAGAAAGGUCAAGAAAAUAGAAAUAGUAGCAGAGUAAUGAAAAGAAUAAAUCACGUUUCAGACCUUGUUUAGACCUGGCUAGUGCUUCAGCUACAGUUCGUGUGUCGCCCAACUCCACGUCUGCAUCCAUAACACAAAAACAUUCCAUAAAUAUUGUUUUGAAUAGUGAGUUCACAAUGCUACUAGCUCAAAAUACCUAAAAUAGAAGCAACUGAAAGUUAAUAUGUAAGAGCAAUUAGAAAAUUAGGCUUGAAACUGAUCACGGCCUUUCCUGAGCUUGUUUGAACCAUGAAAGGUUUCAGGAUCAAGCUUGGACCACGAUUAUUGUGAUUAGGGUUGAGUCGGGUGUAGGAAAACAGGUCCAAAUUACUUUUUUUUCCAGGCUUGUGCCAGUCCUAGUCUGACUAGAAGUCCAAUGUAACACUUGAUUACAUUCAGGAUCAGCCUCCGGCUGCAACUUUUGCUAUCACACAAAGGGAAAUGCUAAUGGGAUGAAUGAGCUACUCCUACCUAACGCCCUUCCUUCAAGAACAACAGCUGCAUGGCGGUUAAGAUCCUGAGAGAGGGUCCUCCUAGCUAUCUCAUAAUCAGCAUCCAUAGUCUCCUUGCUUCCGUCACGAAAGAUCCCAUGAUCCUGGAUAUCAAAUUACCAUACGAAGAUGCAAAUUAAAAUCUGCUGAAUUCAAAAUAGGGUGAAGUGUAUCCAACACAGUUCCUGUACCAUCCUGGGGUUGCUCAUUAACCUUAAAAGUUUCACAUAAACACUUUAGAUCUCGAAACUUCUCAGAUAUUGCAAUUACAUACCAAGCCUCUAAAAGAUUUUGACAACACCUGACAUUCUUCUAUGAAAUGACCUUUUCUUAAGUUACCCAAGAUGAGACAUGGCCUCAUAAAGGAAACUUGGAAUUCUUUUUCUUAAAAGUUAUUUUACACAUUUAGGGAUGCUUUGCAAUCAAUGAGAAAGUGCACAGACUAAGUCGCAACAUUAGGGUAGAACAGGGACUACAAACACAUUUUACCACCUAAACUCAGCAUUGAUGAAUAAUAAACUAAUAAGCAAUACUUACAUUCCGCAUCUACAGAAUCUAGAAGCUUAUUUUUCUCGAUAACAAUUGAAAAUGUGAGUGAAGAUCUAGAGGACUGCUAACAAUGCAGUUAUCUGUUUAAGCAAUAACAUGAGUUCUCUAUUUAAGCUAAUGUAUAAUAUGUCUGCAGCUAUGAAAAUCAAGAGAAGAGAGUAAGGAUCAGUAACAUGCCGGAAGAUGGAUAUAAUCAUCUCCUACAUCAGCUUCCAUAUCUAAGGUCGGAUCAACCCGUCUGAUCUGCAGAGAAAAAUGAAAAGGGUAAAAAAAAAAAUACAACCAUAAGAAUGGUAUCAAACACUGUAACAGCAUUAUUUGCUAAAAAGUUGUGGUAGAGAAUCAACAAUCAUCCACACACUGUUAUUAACAGGGCAGAAAUGUUAUUGACAAAGCGGUUUCAUCGAAGAGUCAAGUCAAUCAUAUGACUGAUGACAGGAUCCAAUAAACUUGCUUCAUCAAUAAAAUUUAAAGCACUGCUCAAAUCACCACCCAUACACUCAUACAGCCCCAUAACCUUACCUUACAACGAGCUUCAUUUGCUAGUAUAUCGUCAUGCUUCAGAAAGACGGCAAGUUCCUCAUCUUCAGCUGCCUCUGCCGCAGCAGCAACAGAAUUUUUUGUCCUGUGGAGGUAUUCAGCUCUACAAUAUUUGGUCCAAAAAUCCUUCUCUGUCAUCUGAAGACAUUUUUUUCAAGGGAAAAAGCAAGAUGAAUGAAUCAACGUAUAUAGUACCUAACAAUUCACUUGUACAACAAAAACAUAAAGAGCUGGACAACAUUAUUGAUCUUACCUUGGUAGGAACGAAAUUUAAAAAUGCACGAUGAACAGCAGGUUUUUCAGCAAAAAUCUGCAAGAUAUUUCUCAAAUAAGAUAAUCUCUUUAUGAAAAGUAUAAUCUCUUUAUGAAAAGAUUUAUGGAUUAAUUAAUGUAACAAGCUACAAAUAGAAAUACAAUAGCUCUAUCUUAUCUCCUAGAGUAGAUUGUUCUCGGACGUAAUAUUUUCAUGAUCGGCAAGAUCAUUAGCACAUAUGGUGUAUACUGGGGUGGUGGGGGGGUUUGGUGGUGUUGGGGCGGGGGGAGUGGGGCCGGGUUGGUGGGUGGGGAAUAUAAAUUGGAUUAGUAGAGAGAGAAAAAAAGCCCUGAAUUAGUCGGAAGAUUGAGAGAAAGAAAGAACAGCAAGGGAUCAGAGUUAUCAAAUUUCAUUUUCAUUUUCCAUAUUUCUUCCCACCUGACCUCUUCAAUAGCAUGUAAAACUCCAAUCUAAAGGUGUCUUCACUUCAAAAAUAUACNAAAAAAAAAAACCAUUAACUCCAAAAUAAAGUUCUGUAAAGGGUGAAGUGAGGCAUUAUCCUAUCAGGUGAAAUAAAACAAAAAAACAAAACAAGAUAACCAUGUCUGAAAGAUCUAACAAGAAAACAAAGGUGAAGCUCACAUCACAAGUAGAAAAUUUCAAAUAUUACAAAUUAUAAAAACAAAAUAAGUAUAAUGCAAAAGGCAAAAAUACCUGAUGAAUAAUCUCUGGGGUCAGGCUAAAUGUGACUUUAUUAGUCUGCCAAAAAAAUGCCAGCAUCAAUGUCAAAGAACUUUAGUAGAAGUGUCAAAGCAAUUGAACUUACAAGAGUCUGUAACAAAAUCAUUUCAUGAAUCAAAAUAUAUCAUAACCACUUGGUUGCUUAAAUACCAGCUGAUGGUAGUAGUAACCAACCAUAUAGUAGGUUAUUUUGAAGGUCAAAAAAGAUGAACAGGAAUAGCCAAAGAAGAAGAGAAUAAGAAGAAGAAAAAGAGAAAUUCCAUGUUGUACCCGACCAUCUGUUGAGGGCCUGACAUCUGCAAGCAUAGCACUUUUAAACCCUGCCUGCUGCUUUGAUGCUUUAUUCUCGUCGUCAUCAAGUAAACUCUGAACAGGGCAAAAAACAAAGAGAAGCAUUAAUAUAGAAUGAAUAAGAAUGAUAUAAAUAGAUAAAACCAACAAAACAAUAAUUAAGUAUUUGCAGAAACAAAUGGUUUACCUUCCUUGUGGCCCAAAACUCAGACUCUGUUAGCACGCCGCUAAUAACAAAUUGCUUGUGCAAUUUCUGCAAUUCACUGAUAAAAAGUACCUUCAAGAGCCAAUUAUAGUAUAUGCUUUAAUCAUCUACCUAGAGAGGGUAAUAGAGGGCUAAACUUACUGUGAAACACAGGUCUAUCCAUCUACGUGAGAAAAAUAAUUUUGUAACAGAAUAAAUCCUUGCCAUAUGCUAGAAGAAUGAUUGUCUAUCAGAAGAUGAGGAAAGAAGUAAACAUAAGAAGUUUAUACUUUGUAGUAGGCUAUAUCAACUAAAUUCAAGAAACCUACUAUAAGAAUGAAUUCCUCAGGCACGAGAUCAAAAUCAACAGAACGUGAAAGCCCAGUAAACAGCAUGUGAAAGCUCAGAACACGCUUGACCACCAAUUAAACUAUGAUAAUUAUCUAUUUAACAUUAAUCAAUACUGGAUCAACCAAAAAAAGUGGUAUCAACUAACAAAGUAACAGCUAACGACAAAAAAUACGGAAGAUAGGCUGGUUCAUAAAGUUAUCCAAAAAAAAGAAAAUUCAGUGUUGGCUAUAAAAAGAGGCAACAUAGCAAAAUUUACCUAUCUUCUCGCAACAACUUCAUCCGGCGCUCCAUUUCUACGGUGCUAAGUUGUUCAACAUGAGAUAAAGCAGCAGGCUUUUCAGGUACAGAUUGCUCGUUUGGUUUUGAAGGUGUGACGGACUGAAAUUUUCCUAGAACUUUUCCUGCGCAGAUGUCACCAAAAGCUAUAUUUCUCAAUUUAUAAGAAAUAAAAAUUUCAAUAUACCAACUUCAUAUGAGUUUUUCUUCCCCUUUUCAUCUUACUAAUUGAUAAACACAACAAGUUUAGGCAUAUGCAAUAUAUUACUUAUUUCAAAAUCAAAAGCAAAAAAUAAAGAACAAAAGAAAGAAAAAGAGGGGGCACGUUUGGAGUUGGGAAUUGAAAAUCUGCAAUAUAAGCACGACUCUAUGAGUCAUAAUGCUAAGAUGAAGUAGUUCCCACCGUUAUGCACAGGAUGAUCACAAACCAGGCAGCUUCGGUAAGAAAUGUAGUUUUCUAAUUUCAAUUAUGAUUAGAUUUUCAACACUUGAACUUCACCCUAAUUAUAGUAAUAGCAGCAUGAGCAAAUGCUUUUUCUGAUUUAUAUACUUCAUCUUCAUAUAGUGUAAGUAUUUGUUGAAAAGAACUAGUAGAAAAUACAAAUAUACCCAAUACAAAGGAAAAAAAAAAGUUCACUGAGCAAGGACUUUACCUACAAAAUCUCGGCAAACAUUACGGUCAGAAAAAUUGUCGAACUCAAAAAUGUAGCCUACUCCCUGAAACAAGAUGUAAUCAAUCAAGUUGCUUGAAGUAACAGUACAUGGUCAACAAGGAACAACAAGAUGGAAGCAUGGUUUCAACAUGGUUGCAUCCUAAGGCGUAUUUUGGGAAUGUUUUUAUCUAAAACACUUUGAUAAGUUAGAGUUCUCAAAAAGACUGAAAGCGCUUUAGAGCUCCACUAUACCGAUGGUUGAAAAUGAUGGUGGGAAUCUCCAGCAGAAAAGCAUCUAAGAAGAUGCUUCUUCAGUGGAGGUUUAUAGCAGCAUUACAUAUUAUUUCAUGGCAUCGGCGGAGCAGAGCUUGAAAGUGCUUUCAGAUUUCUUUCGUGAAGCUUUAAAGCAUCAAAACAUUGCAUUUGGAGAACCAAGAAUGUAGUCCGAAACUAGACCUAAUUCAACCAAACCGCAAUCAGGACGAAGUGUCACUGUCAAAUGCCAACAUAAUUCCCAAUGGCAUACCUUUUCAGCAUCCUGUGUAAGAUUGAGUAAUGCUUGCUUAGAGCCAUCUUUACUGAACUUGUGACCUAAAAUCAAGCAAAAAUGAACAUACACUCAGAGAUAUGCAAAGAUUUCUAUGGUUAAAUACUGUAACAAUAUAAAGAGAAUAGAAUACUUAACAAGCACUUCAGGUUAUCACAUAAUAGGUUUAUAGGAAGAAAAUAAAACAGAAAGUGGUACCUCUGAGAAAGGUAACAAAGAUUCAACAACCAGAAGUAUGAAAACAAUACAUAGAGUAAAGCAUGUCAACAAAAAUAAUGGUAAAAAAUACUACCGCACAUGGUUCUACAAAUUUAAGGUUCUGAUCACAGGUUUAAGUAUUGAAAAUAUCUUGCAAGCAACUAGAAGAACUGAAUCACAAGAUCGUCCACAGGAAUUGUACAGAGAAUCACAAGAUAAAAGAUAAUUAUUAUUUGUAGGUGCAUUAGUUCCAAAGUUUUUGAUAAAGGCGACCCUAAAUACUGCAAGCCCAAAAAUUCGUCCAAAAUUUUACAAUUUGCACACCCUUUAGUCAACUAGCCACCAUAGAAAUCAAUUUUCCUAGUUUAUAUUACUAGUAUGUUAGAACUCUUACUUUCUUCUUUUAAAGUUAAAUUAAAUUGAAACUCUCAGAAUGUAGUCUAGAAGAAUCCCUCCUGUCUCGUUUUAAUAACUUCUGGAGAAGAAUAGAAUAGUUGUCAAAAUAUAACAACACUAAAAAUAUGUUAAGGAGCCAUUUCCCAUUGCAAUGGAGAUCAAAAACAACUUCCCCUUUGAUGAGAGGCACCGAAUAGGAGGAAACUAAAUCCAAUUCAUUGCACUUCAAAUACAUGACGACAGUAGCUCUAAUAGUGUGGAGCCAUAAUAAAAAUUCUAUUUAGAGAUUGUUACAUAGAAUUCAAAAAAAUAUAAAUAAAUAAAAUUUAAAAAAUCAGGUAAUGCGGAGGAUACAGACAGUAGCUUCAGUAGUGUGGAGCCAUAGAAUGAAUUUUAUAUAUAUAUAUAUAUAUAUAUAAUUGAGCUCCUAUGCUUUUAAAAGUACCAAGUCAUUGGUGCUUGUAAGUUUUCGGCCCUUGGAUUAAGGAAUGUGCGGUUAGGAUGAUGUAGGCCCCCUAGGGUUGAGUGGGUAGUUGGUUGAAUAGUAUAAUCUAACAGAUAAAAAUGAUCAAAGGCGUAGAUCUAACGAUAAAAAAUUUACAAGCACCAAGUGCUUGGUGCUUGUAGAUUUUUAGCCAUUGGAUUAAAAGAUAUGCGGUUAAGAUGAUGUGGGCUCCCUAGGGUUUAGUGGGUGGUUGGUUGAAUAGUAUAAUCUAAUGGUUGAAAAUGAUCCGAGGAGUUGAUCUAACGGUAAAAAACUUACAAGCACCAAGUGCUUGAGUGCUUGAUGCUUUUACAAGCACCAUAGCCGGACUCUAUAUAUAUAUUGCUAAAUAGAACUCAAACCAAGAAAUCCAAAAUAGAAAAAAUUAAAAAUACAUAGUACCUUUAAUAGUUCGGAAAUCAACUUUAAGCUUCAUUGCUGAUCUCGGAUCAUUAGGAACAAAAGCAAACCUAUCCUCCAUCUGCAAGUGAAAGAACAAACAAUCAGUUCUCAACUAUAUACAGAACCAUUUAUGAGUUCUAAGUCGUAUUUUUUAUCAUAGGAGUCCAAUCACGCUCACAUAUCUCAUCUUGCUUUAAACUACUUCAAAGAAUCUCAUAGUAACAUUUCACGAUCAAACAGAUAGUUCUUCCACGGAAAAACUGCUUCCUAUUACCUUAUACUGGGGAAACUCUCUACAUUCCCAUCUAAAUUUAGCCAAAUGAUAGUUAAAACCAAAAAAAGAGUAAGGGAAUCGCUCGGACGAUCGAUCACUUUACUUCAUUCAAAAUAGUAUGAUCAAUCCCUAUUGGUUCAAAAAACCUACAAAAGGAACAUGGAAAUAUAUCCUGAUCCCAGCUACUUAAGAUGCCAAAAACCGCAAUAGGACAAAGAGAUCGAAGCGGAGAGGAAUACUCACCAUCUUAAGCACUCCGGGUAUCCCAUGCUCCUUAACUGUCGUCUUAUACUUCACGGCCAUGUUGAUCACCGCCAUUACCCCCCGAUCGAGCAGGGAAUCCGCCGAAUCAGGACGCGGCGGGGGAGGGAUCGAAGGCCCCCGCGAUUAGGGCUCGGUAAAGACGAGGGUUUCGAGCUUUGAUCAGAUCGAUCGGGAGCGGAGACGGGAAUCUAAGGUUUCUCGGUGAGAUCGAAGCGAAUAUAUUGGUUGCGGGGAGAGUGAGCGCGAGAGAGGAGGAAGGAGACGAGUGGGGAGGGAGAAUCGAAGGGAGAGGUGUGGGGUGGGAAGUUCAUAUAUAGACGGCCGGUAGAAGAAGGAUUCGCGAGCCCUCUGAGAGAAGGGCGAGGAAAAGGAGCCGUUAAUGGGCCGGUCAUGGGCCAUGACCCAGACCGGCCCCAUUAGAUCAGCUCAGAAGCUACAAAUGGUUCGACUCCGACCCGUUUACGUUAAGAUAUAUAUAUAUAUAUAUAAUAUAUAAUAAUUUAUACCCCAUUGGAGAGCAAAGCACCUACACGGCUCCACCCCACUCCUCCCCAUUCGCUUUCGAUCUUCCCUCUUCGUCUCCACCGUGUCGACCCCUUCCCCAAGCAACNAUAACAUUCAAAUUUUCAAAUCUCUACUUUUUUCCUCUCUCUCUCUCUCUCUCUCUCAAACCCUCAUCUAGUCAAGAAGUCACCCUAGCUCACAUUUCUUAUAAUUAUUUUGUAUUUUAAACUAUUGGACAUGUUGCAUCAAAUUGUAGGUAAUGUUCUAUAAAAAUUAAACUAUUGAUUAUAUAAUGUCGAGAAUUUCAAUGAGCUCGUUUAGAGCUCGAGCUCGGCUCGACUCGAAAUUAGGCUCGCUCGAGCUCGGCUCGAAUUAAUUUCAAGCCGAGCUUGAGCCUAGAUUUAGGCUCGAAAUUAAUUUCAAGCCGAAUUUGAGCUGACAUAAGCUCGCUCGAGCUCGGCUCGUUUCCACCCCUAAAAGCACCUACACGGCUUCACCCCACUCCUCCCCAUUCGCUUUCGAUCUUCCCUCUUCGUCUCCACCGUGUCGACCCCUUCCCCAAGCAACCUCUAACCCUAACCCUAACCCUAACCCUAGAAACCUUCGAAACCGUAGAGAAAUGGGGCAGGGAACGCCCGGCGGCAUGGGGAAGCAGGGUCUCCCCGGCGAUCGCAAGCACGACGGCGGAGACAAGAAGGAGAAGAAGUUCGAGCCCGCGGCGCCCCCGUCGCGCGUUGGGCGGAAGCAGCGGAAGCAGAAGGGCCCCGAGGCCGCGGCGCGCCUCCCCGCCGUGACGCCGCUCUCGAAGUGUCGCCUCCGACUCCUCAAGCUCGAGCGCAUCAAGGACUACCUCCUCAUGGAGGAGGAGUUCGUCGCCAACCAGGAGCGACUCCGCCCCCACGAGGACAAGAGCGAGGAGGAUCGAUCCAAGGUCGACGAUCUCCGAGGAUCGCCCAUGAGCGUCGGGAAUCUCGAGGAGCUCAUCGACGAGAACCACGCCAUCGUCUCCUCCUCCGUCGGGCCUGAGUACUACGUCAGCAUCCUCUCCUUCGUCGACAAGGACCAGCUCGAGCCCGGAUGCGCCAUUCUGAUGCACAACAAGGUCCGUUUCCUGCUUCACAUAGGCGAUAUAGCGUUUGCGAUUUGGGUAUAUUUUGUUUGUUUUGGAGAAACUAGUUUGAUACUUCCAAACUCGACAUGUAUGAUUGUUGGUUGUUGAUUUAUGGACGGGAAUUUGGAAGCUUUUCUUGGAUUUCUCAAGGAGAUGGAUGAGAUCGGGAUCACAGGCUUUUUCACGUGCGGAUUCGUGCAUUUCUGAGUUUUAUUGAGCCUUUGUUUGAAUCUAGAUUGGUGAUCCUUGGAGAAAUUGAUAUUAGGGUUUUCUACAAUUUAUUUGAGAAGUUGUACUUGUGGUGAUCUCCGAUGUUGCGAUGGUGAUUGGAAUAACUUUGCAUAUUCUACAGCUUGUUGAUUGAUAUGUUGAGAACUACUUUGCUAACAACACCAACCGAAUAAGUUGAUGGGUGAUACUUAAGCAAGCAUGGGGAGUGCUAUUCUUUUUGCUAUUCCAAAGCGUCAUGGCCAUCUAAUCAAUUUUUUAUAUCUCAUUGAUUUGCAUUUUCAAUCAGAUCUUCAACUCCUGAUUAGGUCCAUAUUGAGUAAUUCUGAUGCAUUUCAUCGAUAACUUGAUAGAGAUGAACUUCAAGGAGCAUUAAUGGGAGAAAUCAUUUUGGUUAUGUUAACAUAUUGUGUAAUCUAAUAUUAGAAUCUCGCCGGUCAAUUUUCACAUUACAUGACAACUAUGUGGCUUGUAAAAUUCAUGGAGUCUUGCUAAUAAAUUUUCAGUUGAAAGUAGGCUACUUCUUUAAUACGAGACAUAUGAUCAAUACUAUUUGUAGUCUCUAUUGAGUGACAUACUGAUACCAACUUUUAUGCCUUUUCGCUCGAUUACUACAUCGCAUUUCAUAAAUUGAUAAUUGAACUGCCAAAUGCUAUGGAAAUAAAUUUGAGAUCCUUUUUGUUCUCAGCAGAUCUUGUUUUGUCUAAUGGAUAUUAAAUGCCUUCAGGUACUCUCUGUAGUUGGGAUUUUGCAAGAUGAAGUUGACCCGAUGGUUUCUGUGAUGAAAGUCGAGAAGGCUCCUCUGGAAUCUUAUGCCGAUAUUGGUGGCUUAGAUGCCCAAAUUCAAGAAAUCAAGGAAGCAGUGGAACUUCCUUUGACCCAUCCUGAGCUGUAUGAGGACAUUGGAAUUAAGCCUCCUAAAGGAGUCAUACUCUAUGGAGAGCCUGGCACUGGGAAAACUCUACUUGCCAAGGUCCUUCUCUCUCUCUCUCUCUGUCUCUCUCUCUCUCUCUGAGACAUAUACAAAGACCAGCCUUAGAAGAUUUUCCAUUGUAUGUUGUUUUAUAUGAUUAUUUGCAGGCUGUGGCUAAUUCUACGUCAGCAACUUUCUUACGUGUUGUGGGAAGUGAGUUGAUUCAGAAGUAUCUGGGUGAUGGGCCCAAGCUAGUGAGAGAACUUUUCAGAGUGGCCGACGAUCUGUCUCCUUCUAUUGUCUUCAUUGAUGAAAUAGAUGCAGUUGGUACGAAAAGGUACUUGAUUGCUGAUCUUUCAAUAGAAAUGCAUGUCUUGAAUAGUAGAAUGUGAAUUCUUUGAUAUUAGUUCGGUUUGGAUAAGCUCAUUGCAAAUAUAACUUCAUUAUCCUUGAUUUAUCUUCCUAUUACAUAAUCGAGAGCAAGAUCAAUUUUCUUUCUGUGGUUUGACACUAGAGGGGUAGCUAUACUAAUUGAUUUUGGAAUAAACUGUAAAAAUUUACAGGGAUAAGUGAUGAUAAAAUGAUGGGCAAAACUAUAAUAGAGUUAACUGAGUAGUUGCUUCAAGUUUGCAUCAGAACAACCUGAUUUGACUGAACAACUAACUGUUACUCUUUGCUGUGUUUGGGCAAAACAGAAGGGGAUAACUUAACUUUGAGUUAUCCCCCUCUUGUUUCGGAAACAAAAUCAGCUUCUAAAUGUGUACUAAAUAUUGCAUCAGUUUCUUAGAGCUAUUGUUGUAUUUCUUUCUAGGUAUGAUGCUCAUUCAGGAGGAGAGCGUGAAAUUCAAAGAACCAUGUUGGAGUUGCUGAACCAGUUGGAUGGUUUUGACUCAAGAGGUGACGUUAAAGUUAUUCUUGCAACAAACCGCAUUGAGAGCCUUGAUCCUGCUUUACUUCGACCUGGCCGAAUUGAUAGAAAGAUUGAGUUUCCACUCCCAGAUACUAAGACUAGGCGGCGUAUUUUCCAGGUAUCAAUUGCCUUUAAGUUUUGACAAAUAAAUAUUUCUCCAAUAUUGUGUUUCAUUUCUUUUUAACUAGUACUUCUUUCUUGUGGUCAUCACGUAGAUACACACAUCUAAGAUGACAUUGGCUGAUGAUGUGAACCUCGAAGAAUUCGUAAUGACGAAGGAUGAGUUCUCUGGGGCUGACAUUAAAGCUAUCUGUACUGAAGCUGGAUUGCUUGCUUUAAGAGAGCGCAGGAUGAAGGUAAGCGCCUUUCUGAAUUCUUCAUAAAAAUAAUUUCUUUUGUUGAUCAGAAGUUACCAAGUCAAAAUUUUGUGGGUGAGAUGUUUCACUAAACUUGUGAUGAUGAUGACGCAUUGCUCAUUUGUUAUAGAAAUCAUAAUAUGCUGAUGGUCUUAAGUUCAGUAGUCGCUGGAGUUGGAUAUGAAAGAUUGUUGAUCUUCAUACAGGAGGCAAUCCUUUCUGGAUUUGUUAUAUGCCAUUUAUCCCUUUCCACAAUCUCCUGUCAUAUGCCAUCUCUUUUUUGUCAAUUUUUUAGAUCCACUUGGUCUCAAGUUGUUUGCUGCACUUACUAGAUUUCUGACCAAAAAAGACCAAAUAGACUAUUACUAUUGCCACCAUCCUUAAGGUGACUUCUGCAUGCUAACAUCCAAACUAGAAUUCCUUUUUUGAAGAAUUUUGGACUUGAGCGGUUUUUACAGAAAAUUCCACCUUUUUGUUGAUUUUGCAAUUUAGGUUCCCCCUUUCAUUUUAAUUUUUCCAGACUUUUGUUCAAAUUCUCUUUUCAUGGAUCGGCCUGCUGCUGGCCAACAUUUUGAUGAAUUUGAACACUAGAAAUGUAAGUGGGGCAUUUGUAUCAACAAGAAGAUACUUUGGCUCGUAUAUGCAAAAAUGAAAAAAAAAAAAAGGGGAUAAAAAUUGCAAUAUCGAUAAAGGACGAGACUUCUCAAAAUAGCCCUAAUAUUCUCUUCAGACUUUUAUGGGUUAUUUUCUAGCUGGGGGAAAAGGAGUAUCCUUUUGUUUGAGUUCGGAGAUUAGAGAACUCUGGUCACCGAAUUGUUUUGUAAACUAUUUUGUUUGCACGUGUUUCAGGUGACGCAUGCGGACUUCAAGAAGGCCAAGGAGAAGGUGAUGUUCAAGAAGAAGGAAGGAGUGCCGGAGGGGCUCUACAUGUGAGCAUCUAACAAUGCUUUUGCCAUCACUAUCAUAAACCUAGUCAAAGUUUGUCGCCGGAGAGACAUUGCCCUUUUUGUUUAUUAUGCUUCCGAGAUUUGAAAUGGCGCUGGGCGAAAAUUACUAUCUAGCAUGUGCUGUGGAUCUGAUAUCUUAGUUUGCAAACAUUUGCCGGCGGAUGUUUUAGUUUGCUUCUUUUCCUACUCUCAGAAACCAAGUAUCUUGCUUCACUUGCACUUGUAUUGAUAGUAUUAUGUGAUAAAUGAACGGUGAUUCUCCAGAUCGAUCCACUCGGAUGUUGUUAAUCCAGAUUUGCAUUUGUGUAUCUCUUUGGUGGUAGAUUUAUCAGUUUGGAUGUCUCAUCAUGCAUACAACAUAUUGAAUUUUUUUUAUUUUCCCCUUAUUUUUAUCGACUUCUCUCUUACCUUUUGCAGCACGGUAUGUGGUAAUUGGCUGAGGAAGUAUGUGCGCCAUGAAUUAUGUUAGCUACCUAAGAGUGUCUAGCUCAUUUUUCUUCCAUUGUCAUAAAAUCCUAAAGCCUACUACUGUGUGGAGAAGUUAAAAUUGUAGAAUUUCCGUGAUACAUAAAAAAUCAAACUCCGAGUUUGUCACCUUAGAAGGAGAGUUUUGUAAAUCACGUUUUGUUGUACUGACGUUUGCGUUUUGGGAGAAAUAAUGUGUUUUUGGCCUCCAAACAGGUUUAUGGGCGUGUAUCAAUUCCUUGACAUUAAAGCACAAUGAAAAGGUUCUUAUAACGCACAAUAAAAAAGCUCGUGUCACACAGUUUUUGACCUGAUUAGUAUUGAGGUCCAUUUAGGAUAUAAAAGUAUACGUUGGAAUAUAUUUUUUAUUAUUUGAUUAAAUUACAAAAAAUAUGUUACGUAAAUGUAAUAUUAUGUCUAGAAACAAAUAUAAUUUUUUUUUCAUGUACUUUCUUAUUGUAUUGAUCUUUCUGUAAUCUCAAAUAGAGCCUAUUUUAUUUUAGCAUUCAAAUUAAAGGCCCCAUUGUUCUCGCCCCAUUAAAUUUGACAUGUACAACUAAAUUGUCAUCUCAUAGGCAUGCACAUAAUUGUCAAAGGAUAGCCACUAUAGUGCUUAUUAGUACAGAAGACCACUGCUAGGAGAUAAAAACGCAACUAAUAAAGCUACAACAAGACCACUAACCCAAUCUUAUUAUACUUGGGGUUUUUCAAGGACAUAUCAAAUCCCUCUCUAAAGCAUUCAAUUUGUAAAAAAUUGGGAAGGUCCUAACACUCUCUAUAGGUGUCAUUGUGGAAGUUGUUUAGGUGACUCUCCUCCAUGGUGACAACUCCUGUAAGCUUCUUCUUUGGAAGCUACUGUGGUGCUUAUGCUUCAUUAAUCAUGCUUCUUUUAAUAUAUAAGUCACAUAAAACUAUUAAAUCAUCUCAUUUUGUUUUACUGAUCACUUUGUUGGGCUAAGUUUUAUCAUUAUGCUUUAAUAUUGUGUUGACAAAAAUGUGCUAUGAAGGGGUAAUUAUCCUAAUUCGCUAAUAUAGUCAAACAACUCUUGCAUGUAACUUAGUUGCUUGUUUUUGGGACUGCUUGGUUCCUAGGAAAAAUAUGGAAAAAAAAAAAAAAUUGAACUCACACAGUUGCUCCCCUCUCUCUCUCUCUCUCUUCCUAUUAAGUUUGAACUCACACAGUUUCAAGCAACAAGGUGGAGAGAGAGAGAGAAAGAGGAGGAGGAGGAGGAGGGGAGAGAGAGAGAGAAAUGGGAAGGGCACCAUGCUGUGACAAGGCAAGUGUGAAGAAGGGUCCAUGGUCUCCUGAAGAGGAUGCAAAGCUCAAGGUUUAUAUUGAGGAGCAUGGAACUGGUGGCAACUGGAUUGCACCUCCUUAUAAGAUUGGUUAGCCCAAGUUUAUCUUCUCAAUUCUUAUUUACAACAGUACAUAAAUAUAUUAAAAACGUGUUCAUAUGUGUUUGUUGCAUAAUCACAUGCAUGGUUUAAGCAUUUUGAACCCGUGGUUCGGAAUCUAAUGAGUUAUUAUUGCUAGUGAGUUAGAUCGUUACAAUAUCUUUUAACAAUUCGAGCUUUCGGAAUUAACAGCUACACCAACGAUGCGACAAAAAAGAGUUACUAUUUAAUUUUCACAAUACAAUUACCCUUUUACUUUUCCUUUUGAGAUCCAAAAGUCAAUUUUAGCUUCCACAAAAGGGUAAAUUUUCAGAAAUUAUAUGUAUCUAACAUCCCAUUGCUACUUUAUUUCAAAAUAGAGCAAUUGUUCUAAAAGCUAACUGCUAAGCCAAACAGGCCCUUAAUGUCGAGGAAAGCAGCUUAGCUAGAAAACUAACAUGACGGUCUUAAAUAUUGCAAGUUUGUAACUACGUACUAAUCUCUCACUGAACAUUGCAGGGAUAAAGAGAUGCGGAAAAAGCUGCAGAUUGAGGUGGCUAAACUAUCUAAGGCCCAACAUUAAACACGGCGACUUCUCACCAGAAGAAGAUAAAAUUAUUUGCAGCCUCUACAUCAGUAUUGGGAGCAGGUAUCUGUAGCAUCCAUCUAAUCCCAUCAUUAAUCAUCCAUAUCGCCUAAUUAGCACUAAUCAACUAUACUUUAAAAUGCGCUAAGGUGGUCCAUUAUAGCCGCGCAGUUACCAGGAAGAACCGAUAACGACGUUAAGAACUACUGGAACACCAAACUGAAGAAGAGGCUCCUCGGAAAGCAAAGGCGAGAGCUCAACGGAGGAUGGAACGAGGUCGUCGGCUCGCAAACACUAAAUGCAUCGGCCCUCGAAAGAAUUCGGCUACAAAUACAGCUACAGCAACUCCACUACCACCACAACCCCUCUCUUUGCUCUAGUAGUAAGAUUCUCCAAGGGCAAUGUAGUGGUAAUUCUACAAAUGGUAUAGUAGUGAGCGAGCCUAUCUCAACUCAAGUUGUUGAAUUCGACAAAAUUGAUGUGACGAAUGCAGAAGCUAGUGAGAAUGUAGACGGAUUUAUCUUAGAUGAUCUCUCUUCGCCUUCGCGCGAUCGAUAUGUAGAGGAAGAUAAGAGAAUGAAAGGAGCGGGUUUGAAUUGGUGGGCUUAUGGGGAUGAAUCACCAAUGAGUUCUAAUGGCCUUUUUGCUGAUCAUAAUUUUGAUUCUAUGGUUCAAGGGUAUGGUUCCCCAUAUGAUCUAUAAUAAGGGUUAUGUCAAAGGAUUCAGGAUAUAUGUUUGUGAGCUAAUGAAUAAGGAUGUCAUAUUUAUCCUCUGUAACAUCUCUUCUGAUGGUUAUUUUUUUGGAGUCAUAUAAGUGAAAAUAUUUAUGAUGGUCUGAUUCAACAGCUAUUACUACUAGCGAACCUGUGCUGCAUAAUAGAAAGGUAAAAUAUUAUAUUACAAAUAAUAACUCUUAUUUUUACACUUCAGAAAUACGUAUAGAUAACUCAUUUUAACCCAUUAAUAAAAAUGUAGGAGUCUUCGACAAUCCCCCAACUCUUUAAGUGCUAUAUUUAAGCCUCGGUUGGUAUAGUUGUUGUUUUUUUUUUUUUAAAAAAAAAAAAACAGCAAAUUGUGGAAGAUAAUUAAUAGCAUUUCUCCCAUGAAAAUCUACACCAUACUUUUGGUGUACAAAUAGCAUAUCUCACAUCAAAAUUGCGGGAUCAUCAAAACAAUCACCAGCCAAGGAGUAACAGCUUCAGUAAAGCCAUCAAUCACCAGCCAAGGAGUAACAGCUUCAGUAAAGCCAUCCGGAUAUAGAGGCCAUUUUUGGCUUGUCUAAAAUAUGCAGCUCUAGGAUCACCAUCGACAUCCACUGUAAUCUGCAACGCAAAAAGCAAGUUCACACAGCUUUCAUUUAGGGCAAAGUCGUCUUUAUUGUACGAGUAGCUUUUAGAUUAAAAUUCACGAGUAGCUUUUAGAUUAAAAUUCAUAGCUUCUGAAAAAGUGCUGAUUAAGAAGAGCUAUUCAAAAAGCAUCAAUGGGUUUUAAAGGUAAACCGCCGAUUUAUGACGUUAAUAGCAGAAAAGAAAGAUGAUGGUAUGGAGGACAAUGAACAGGUAUAAUUACCUCAUCUAGUCUUGGAAGCGGAUGCAUGAUAACUGCGUGCUUUGGAAGCACUUCUAACACCACCUUGUCCACUAUGUACUUCCCGCGAGCUGCUUCGUAGAGAUCUACUCUCUCGCCAAAUCUCUCUUUCUGAAUCCGCGUUUGAUAAACGACAUCACAUUUUGAUGCCACCUCUAAUAGAUCAGAGCUUUCUUCCCAUUCUACUCCCAUUGCUGUUAAGUAGUCUUUAAUGUCGUCCUGAAGAAGUUAACAAAAUAGCAAAGAAGAAUGAAUGAAUAUCAGAUAACGAUGCUCUAAAAAGAAGACAAAUUCUACAAACUGAUCCUAGUGCAUAGAUGGUACCUUCAUCUUGACAACCUCUGGAGACACAAAAUAAAUCUUGAUGUUUUGAUAUUUAGCAAUCAAAUAUGCUAAAGAACGAACCGUCCUACCAUUAGCAAGAUCUCCAACCAAGCCAAGGGUAAUCCCAUCGAGUCUUCCGAUUUCUCUUUUUAUGGUAUAUACAUCCAAUAGAGCCUGCAAAUGAGAAACUAAUAAAUAUGAUUGCAUAUGCGAUCAUAUUGCAAAAAUGGUAAUUAUAACAAUACAGGUUUGUCUUAAACUAGUAAAAGGGUAAUGAGGAUGGAUUAGCUGUGUGAUAGCUUAUACCUCCAUUUGAACAUCUACAAUCCUAAAUGUUGAUGUAUGGAUAAGUCACUGCUUCACCAUAGUUAAAUAACUCAAAAUGUGCAGCUAGAACAAGCUUAUGAUAGUAAUAGUGAGAUGUCAUAGUAAACUAUAGAAGAAGCUAGAUCAACCUAUCAAAUUAAAAGAUUAACAUAUAUAAAACAAAAUAGACAGAGAAGACAGAGAAGCAGCAGGACUAACUUCAUGGAAUCGAUUAUCUAAGGUUCUGUAAACAUCUUGAAGAAUGCUAAGGCCCUGAAGUUAAUACAAAAUUUAUAACACAAGUGGGACCAUUUGGUGGAGAUUAAUGUAGUCAUGUAGUUCCAUUGGUAGUACCAUAGGACAUUUGCUGUAGUCAUGUAGGGUGAAAAAAGCGGAGUUGAAGGUCUUUUGUCAUGUAAAUCUCUCUAACCAUCUGUAAUCUUUCCUAUUAGUGAAAGUCAUGCAAUUGAAAAAGAAGCCAUGGAAAGCAAGCAAAAGAAAAACAAAGAGUGGCCAUGGAUCAUGAGUAGAAGAAAAUUGAGAUGAACAGGUUUCCAAUAUGGCAAUAUACGAGACAGCAUACAUGGGCAAAGAGAACUCAAUGAUCCUUCCUGAAGUAGCGAAAUAUGUAAUGUAAAUAGAGCAAUGGUUGUCUUAGUUGUUCCAAAACCAUUAGAAUGGCAUUUAUGUGGGUCACAGCUGCCUAAACAUUUCCACAUCUUGCUAUUUCUAAAUCAUUAUAUAAUUAGAUAGAUGCAGUGCCAAACAAUAGCAAUGCAAGUGCUUGUGCAUAAAAAAAAAAAACCAAUAAUAAAAUAAAUAUAAUACAUUACAUCAAAAUCUAGCUAUAUAGAAUAAGUAUGCUUUCACUAAAGCAGUGCAUUUUGAUCACAGCUGGUCAUCACAGCAUGCCAAUGCAUGCCCACCAUGCCGACCGACAUUGGAAUCCCUGACCAGUAGUAGUGGCAUACAUUAUGGAAGGGCGAAUCAAAAGAUAAAGACAGAAAAUUUAUCCCAUGGUUACUAUAUUACUUAUUUACUAAAAGUAGUAUACAUUUGCAAGCAACUAGCUUCGGAUCGCAACAUAUGGAUAAGAACCCAAUAUAAGUAUAAAAAAAUUCACAAAGUUUUUCUUAAAAGCAUGAUUCCUUUUCCUCUUCUUUCUCAGUAGUUUAAUUUACUUUAUGUACCUGUGUUGGAUGCUGCCCUGGACCAUCUCCGGCAUUGAUGACCGGAAUACUCGCAGUGGAAGCUGCUCUCCUCGCAGCUCCACUUUCAAAAUGCCUCAAAACAAUUAUAUCAGCGUAGCCUUCAACAGUUCUUAUAGUAUCUGCAAAAUAUUUCACUCUGCAAUCAAUUAAGAAACCCUGAAACAAAUAAUAAGUAAAUAUGUAUCAGUAUGGGGACCCCUUCAACUUUACUUCUUUCGUAAUGGCACCUCCUUAACUACAACUUUUUUUGUAUGUGAUUUUUGACAAUCAUACAAAUUAGGAUAUUGUUAAAUUUAACCAUUAAAUUUAACAGCUUUAAAGUGUAGAUUCCGGUAACAAUUAAUAGGUAAUAGCUAAUAAAGCCACUAACUUUAUAAUUUCUACAACUCAACUGACUUAAAGGGGAAAGAAAAAAAAGAGAUGAGGAAUUAUCAAUAAUAUGAUUAAAGUUCAUUUCAAAAUGUCCUGUAGUUGGAGGGGUCAGGUACCUUCUAGGGUUUCGCCCUUCGCCGCCGAGGAGAACUCCCGCGCAUUCUCCGUCGUCAAAACCUCCCCACCCAGCCGCUUCAUCGCCGACUCGAACGAGAGCCGCGUCCUCGUCGAGGGCUCGUAGAAGAGCGUCGCCAUCAAAUACCCCUUCAAAAUCGCGCUCCCGGUCGAGCUCUUCUCGAUCUCCUCCAUCUGAUGCGCCACUUCGAAGAUCUCGUUCAGUAUAUCCCGAUCGAACUGCUGCGCCUCGAUCACAUCCUCGAGUUGAAACCGCGACCCCGCGGCGACGAUCGGCGACUCUGCGAGCGAAGCGGAGCAUCGACGGGUCGGCGAUCGCGAGGAGAUCGCUAAGGAGAAGGGUUUAGAGCGAGGGGAAACCACCGAUGAUGGUGCGCGGCGGAGAGAGGAGGCGAUCGCUCGAUCGCCGCGUGUAGGGUUAGGGUUUUUGCAUAGGAAUCUCGUAGAUGAUGGAGAUAAUAACGCCAUUGUCGGGGGAGAGAGAGGGAGGGAGAGGAGAGUGAAAAAACCAAAGCGGCGACGCAGAGAAAGGGUGAGUGUGAGAAUUUAUCGUAUAAACCCCUGAGACAUUGAUAACAAUUUUAAAUUUUUUAUGGCAAAAUUGCAAGUACACCCUCAACUACACGAGUUUUAGAGAUUGGGUCUCGAAACUUAAAAUUUAAGACAAUAAUUUAAAGUUUUAAAUAUUAAUUGCAAAAUAUAAUAACAGAAUUUUAUUUAUGUAAAUUUUAAUAUAAAAUUAGUAUAUUUAUUGUAAUCAAAAUGUAUAAAACUUAUGUGACCUACUUGUCUAUUUUGCUCCGACUAUAUAACUUUUAAAAAUUUAUCAUCCAAUUUUUUGUACUUCAUUUGAUUUGAGCUAUCUAAUGAUUUUUCUACUUUAGAAUUAAAUACAACUAUUUACUUUAUCAGAUUUAGGCUUAGNUGACCUACUUGUCUAUUUUGCUCCGACUAUAUAACUUUUAAAAAUUUAUCAUCCAAUUUUUUGUACUUCAUUUGAUUUGAGCUAUCUAAUGAUUUUUCUACUUUAGAAUUAAAUACAACUAUUUACUUUAUCAGAUUUAGGCUUAGUUUGGUAUUGAGGUCUAUCUAACACUUCGUUUGGAAUUGCGAGGAAAUUGCGUUAUGUGCAUAAGAAAGUACGUUGGAAAAAAAUCAUGUUUGUUUCCCUACGUAAUAUUACGUUCCGCACGUCCCGCUAUCGUCAAUUUAGUCGAUCCGGGCCCGUACACAGACGCCGAACGGACAACACAUCCCCUGUCCGCCCAAGGCUCAACAACAACGAGUACAUGUAUAAAGAAAUAAAUAGUAUUUUACACUAUUUUUAUUUACAUCUAUUUUUAUAUUAAAAAUUCGGUAUAUUACAUUCUCCCCCCGUUAACCAAAAGUUUCAUCCAUAAAACUUAGAUACAUACAUACGCUCAUUCCCACAAGCCCAGAUAUUAUUCCUGAAUCACCUUAUAUAGUAAUUCCUACAAUUCCCACUCUAAUUGUGCAUUCUCUCACAUACUUGGCAGCGAUAUCCAUAGGGUCUGAUGUAACAAGGACUCUGCUUUCCUCGACAUCAACAAAUGUCGUCCUCAACUGCGAAUUCAAAAUUUCGCCGGCACACAAUAAUAUAAUUUAGCCACCAUUCUACUCUGCCUUUUUGCAUACCUCCGACUGGCAUUCCCUUCACACAAUCCACAACUGCCCGCACAAUCGGCUUGUCAGGUCCGUAUUGUCAUCAACUAUCAUCAAUAGACGACAAUCACUUAAUACCACUAAGUAUCAUUUCUUUUCCUCAAGGAACAGUACUACCCGUUCAUUCUCACGGUGUGGAUCAUAUAAACAUAGCACUUAACCAAAAAGUCCCCAGCACCACCACAACACAUUAUACACAGGUAGGCUACCUCGAUUCACAUAUGAAUCUACCGCCAAUUUGGAUAUCGCAAUGAGUCGGUUACGAUAUAUUUUCUGCGGUUCAACCGGAGAACGCAGAAGCAUAUCCCUGUAUAAUUUUUUCUCAACUUCAUUCUAUUUAUUUUAGAUAGACCUCAAUACCAAACUAAGCCUGACGCUAUUAGAUAGAAUGACGUUGAUGUGUUCUCCAAUACGACUACAUAAAAUAUAUUAUAACGGACUGAUCACAGAAUAUAAUAUUACGUACGGAAACAAACAUGAUAUUUUUCUAUCGUCGUUUCUCACCUCCCGUAACGCAAUCUUCUUGUAAAAAUGAAGUCUUAGUUAAUAUCCAAACGGUCAAGUAUCUAAAUUUUAUAAUAAAAUAGACAUUAAAUAAUUAAAAUUAAAAUAAUUAAAAAAUUAGUAAUAAAAUUAAAAUUUUAAAUUUUAGAUAACCAAAUCAAAAUAAUUUAUAAUUUAAAAAAACUUAGAUACCUUCCUAUUCUUUAUUGUUUUCNUCUUGUAAAAAUGAAGUCUUAGUUAAUAUCCAAACGGUCAAGUAUCUAAAUUUUAUAAUAAAAUAGACAUUAAAUAAUUAAAAUUAAAAUAAUUAUUAUCUUUGUAGAAAAUUAAAAUAAUUAAAAAAUUAGUAAUAAAAUUAAAAUUUUAAAUUUUAGAUAACCAAAUCAAAAUAAUUUAUAAUUUAAAAAAACUUAGAUACCUUCCUAUUCUUUAUUGUUUUCUACUUUUCAUUGGUAUAGUUUUAAUUAUUUUAUUUUUCUACAAAGAUAAAUAAAAA
Molecule: long non-coding RNA, 35833 nt
Filed under: Ananas comosus (pineapple)
Lineage: Eukaryota; Viridiplantae; Streptophyta; Magnoliopsida; Poales; Bromeliaceae
Description: long non-coding RNA (ACOM_LNC021769)
Rfam family: tRNA (bases 6364-6436)
Source: RNAcentral